UNUGACUUGAGUGCAGAAGGGGAGAGUGGAAUUCCAUGUGUAGCGGUGAAAUGCGUAGAUAUAUGGAGGANCACCAGUGGCGAAAGCGGCUCUCUGGUCUGUCACUGACGCUGAGGCUCGAAAGCGUGGGUAGCGAACAGGAUUAGAUACCCUGGUAGUCCACGCCGUAAACGAUGAGUGCUAGGUGUUAGGCCCNUUCCGGGGCUUAGUGCCGGAGCUAACGCAAUAAGCACUCCGCCUGGGGAGUACGACCGCAAGGUUGAAACUCAAAGGAAUUGACGGGGGCCCGCACAAGCGGUGGAGCAUGUGGUUUAGUUCGAAGCAACGCGAAGAACCUUACCAGGUCUUGACAUCCCGAUGCUAUUCUUAGAGAUAGGAAGUUACUUCGGUACAUCGGAGACAGGUGGUGCAUGGUUGUCGUCAGCUCGUGUCGUGAGAUGUUGGGUUAAGUCCCGCAACGAGCGCAACCCUUAUUGUUAGUUGCCAUCAUUAAGUUGGGCACUCUAGCGAGACUGCCGGUAAUAAACCGGAGGAAGGUGGGGAUGACGUCAAAUCAUCAUGCCCCUUAUGACCUGGGCUACACACGUGCUACAAUGGUCGGUACAACGAGUUGCGAGCCGGUGACGGCAAGCUAAUCUCUGAAAGCCGAUCUCAGUUCGGAUUGGAGGCUGCAACUCGCCUCCAUGAAGUCGGAAUCGCUAGUAAUCGCGGAUCAGCACGCCGCGGUGAAUACGUUCCCGGGCCUUGUACACACCGCCCGUCACACCACGAGAGUUUGUAACACCCGAAGUCGGUGAGGUAACCUUUUAGGGGCCAGCCGC
RNAcentral lists this ribosomal RNA (821 nucleotides) under uncultured bacterium. Its description in RNAcentral is "bacterial SSU rRNA". It matches the Rfam family "Bacterial small subunit ribosomal RNA", at positions 636 to 1456 of the family's 1533-position model. The record is from RNAcentral.